This 497-nucleotide ribosomal RNA is filed under the name uncultured bacterium. RNAcentral's name for it is "partial 16S ribosomal RNA". It matches the Rfam family "Bacterial small subunit ribosomal RNA", at positions 28 to 507 of the family's 1533-position model. The record is from RNAcentral.
GACGAACGCUGGCGGCGUGCCUAAUACAUGCAAGUAGAACGCUGAAGAGAGGAGCUUGCUCUUCUUGGAUGAGUUACGAACGGGUGAGUAACGCGUAGGUAACCUGCCUUGUAGCGGGGGAUAACUAUUGGAAACGAUAGCUAAUACCGCAUAACAAUGGAUGACACAUGUCAUUUAUUUGAAAGGGGCAAUUGCUCCACUACAAGAUGGACCUGCGUUGUAUUAGCUAGUAGGUGAGGUAACGGCUCACCUAGGCGACGAUACAUAGCCGACCUGAGAGGGUGAUCGGCCACACUGGGACUGAGACACGGCCCAGACUCCUACGGGAGGCAGCAGUAGGGAAUCUUCGGCAAUGGGGGCAACCCUGACCGAGCAACGCCGCGUGAGUGAAGAAGGUUUUCGGAUCGUAAAGCUCUGUUGUAAGUCAAGAACGAGUGUGAGAGUGGAAAGUUCACACUGUGACGGUAGCUUACCAGAAAGGGACGGCUAACUACGUG